Molecule: ribosomal RNA, 253 nt
Filed under: uncultured bacterium
Lineage: Bacteria
Description: partial 16S rRNA
Rfam family: Bacterial small subunit ribosomal RNA
Source: RNAcentral
GUGCCAGCAGCCGCGGUAAUACGUAGGUGGCAAGCGUUGUCCGGAUUUACUGGGCGUAAAGGGCGCGUAGGCGGAUAUUUAAGUGGGAUGUGAAAUACCCGGGCUUAACCUGGGUGCUGCAUUCCAAACUGGAUAUCUAGAGUGCAGGAGAGGAAAGGGGAAUUCCUAGUGUAGCGGUGAAAUGCGUAGAGAUUAGGAAGAAGACCAGUGGCGAAGGCGCCUUCCUGGACUGUAACUGACACUGAGGCGCGAA